Long non-coding RNA from Nicotiana attenuata, 2387 nucleotides. RefSeq lists it as uncharacterized. The record is from RefSeq and is a predicted model, not a curated record. Lineage: Eukaryota; Viridiplantae; Streptophyta; Magnoliopsida; Solanales; Solanaceae. The transcript is spliced from 3 exons.
AGGAGCAAAAAACAAAAGCACCCCGCUAAACUUGUAAAACUAUUUCAGCCUCAUUUACAUGUUCCAUUCUAACCAAAAGCAAAACAAAAAUGUAUUGGCCUUUAUCUUUUGAAUGGAGUUAGCGUUGUCUUCAAAACAUCUUCUGUUUCUUUCACUCCAAAUAGUCCACCAUAUGCACGCUGGUAUAAUAUUCCACCAUAGUAGCUUUCUCUUCCUGACUCCCUUUCUGUACCAGCACUUCAGCAAGUCCUCUGUUGUCCUUGACAUGACCUACUCCAAACCAAUCAUAUCCAUGAAGAGCUGCCAAGUUGGGUGGUAACUUGGCAGUGCGAAAACAUUUGCUUGUCAAAACAAUACCUAUCUUUUGUAGAUUCUCAUGUGUGAGACAAGCUUCAGUAAAUACCAUCCAUGUGAAACAAGCAACCUUAGUUGGAGCUCUGGACCUCCAAAUUUGUUUCCAUGGGGAAGGCUUUUCAGGAUUAUCCACCUUUUGUUAGAUCUUUAUAGCAACAAUUUACUGAAACUCCAUUGCUUCUUGGCAGUGAUGUCAAAGGCAUGCUUAAAGCGCGCUUAAGCCCUGUAGCGAGGCUCAAAACAUGUUGAGCGCUUCGCCUCGCUUUGUGGGCGCUUCAAUGUAACAUCAACGCUCUAAGGCUUGCCAAUGAGUGCAAUCCUGAAAAGGCGACACUAAACAAUUGAUUUUUCACUUUUUAUCGUAAUUUUUUCCAAUUUCUUUGUCCAUAUAUUUGUUAUUGAUGCUUAUAAUUAUUGGUCUUGGAUUACAUAAUAGAUAUUUUUACUUUUUCUUCAGUUGCACCUUUUUUCAUUAAAGCCCACGCUUUAAUUACGCUUUGCGCUUAAAGCCCCAAAGGACCUUAGAGCUUUUUGUGCUUUUUGCCUUUGAUAACCCUUCUUCUUGGCUUCCAUAUAAGGCUAUGAUCAGUGUUGGAUGGCUGCUGAUUUGUAUUCAGGAGGUUGAAAAAUUCAGCAACCCUGUGUACUUCCCAAUCAUUGAAAUUUCUUGUAAAUGAUGUUCCAAACUCCGUCAAUUCUGUUUUCUGCUAAGGACGAAGUAUUGUUUGCUGCCAGAAUAAACAUAUCAGGUAAAAGGUCCCUCAAAGGUCUGUGACCAGCCCAGUUAUACGGUGCUGGUCUUGUUGCAGUCACUCCAGUCUAUAAGUUACUCAGAAAAAUGCUUCAUUAUAAAAAAAAGAAGAAGAGAAGUUACUCAGAAAAGCUAAGUGUUGUCAUCUCGUCUUUUAAGCAUUGUGCAUCAUAUGUAAACUGUAAUUUUCAUUUUAGUAUUGUUGAACUGUAAUGCUUGGACUCUACGUGUCUACCUCAAAAAGAAGAAUCAGUCAUAAGUUGCUGUAUUGCAAAGAUGCACUAAGCAAUCAACUUUUGCUGCCUGUUGUGCUUCCCAUCCAUUUUAUGCAUCCUACAGAAAGUUUUCAGAGAAAUCAUUUCUUUUUCAUUUACGGUGAAAAUCAUGUGACGGUAAUGCCAUGUUAUGACAAGAAGCUUGAGGCUGCUCGUGAGGACUUUGUGUUUCAAGUGGAUACAGAUCACUACAGGAGAGGUUUUGGAUUUGAUACAGUUAAAAGCAGUCAAUUUUCAAUCCUUGGAAGAGUCACCCCUAGAUAAGUUGUAAGCACUUUUAUACACCUUCCAUUUGUUAAUGCAAAUCUUUACAAUUGAGUGCUUAUAUGCUCUUGCCAAUAUCGAUGAGGAGGGCCAUCUUUAUGGGGUUCACGGAAGCUCUGGAGGAUAUGCAGAUACCAUUUAUCUUCAUGCUGCUAAAGUUCUUUUAUUAAAGGCCCUAUAGCAUUCAAGACUUUAAGCAACUCUGAUUUCCAAGAAGUGAGCCUACAAGUUGUCGUUGCUGAUCCUUUCAACAUCCCCAUCAUAAAAGGCCUAUACAAUGAGUGGCUUGAACAGCCUGGUUCAGAGAAAGCAAAGAGGUACUUGCAUACUGAAUAUCAUCCUGUAGUGAAAAGUAUCACUUCACAGUUGCAGAACUGGUGAGAAAUGCAAAAUAUCAGCUUUUAACCGGUUGGCGGAGUGUUCCCUUCUGGUGUUUUUCUGCAAGAGCAUCCGGAGAGGGUUUUGAUAUUACACUGCAUUGAUUCAUAAGUGCUCGCAAUCUAUGUUCAGAGGGCAUGCACAACAAUUUUGGUCCUGAACGAGUUCACCCCAUACUGUAAAUAUGUUGUGUUUGUACUUGUGAAUUACAGAGUAGUUUAGGUUGCAAUGCUAACAUAUUUGCCCCAUCUAGAUUGGAAGUUGUACUGUACGUGUCUUAUCCCAUAAGCUAUCAAGCUUAUUAAGUUGAGACACUUCAUUUGUAUCCAUUAGGAGAGCGGCAACUUUUUGAUGCCAAUGGUAAA